CAUAGCAACAGCAGCGUAGCUGAACAUCUUACGGAUGGCCCAGGGCUCCAAAGGCUCGUUUCCUAAGUGAGAGAGAGCCUGGCUGAAGCUGUAUUACCAUUCAUUCUCCAGCCUCCGAAGUCUCAAAGCAUCACUUCCACCAUACUCUAACUGUCAAGACAAACACAAAGGCCCAGAAAGAAGAAUACACUAUCGAUGUUCCUUUUAAACAAGUAUUUGAGUAAAAGCGAUGUUUCCAAUGUGUGUCAGAAAGUGAAUACUUGUAUAUUUCCGCAUGGUUAGAGCUGAGCUUUCCGAGCAAAUUUUACUGGGACCCGGUUGAAAGACAGGUCUUGGAAGUGAAAUGAUGACUGACUAGAUGCUGAGUUUGCAGAGUAAACCACUACCCUGAAAUCUGGAAAGGCAGGUGCACCCAUAGAUCCUCAGCUGAGAUCCAAUUACCUGAAAUAGAAGCUGCCAUUAGGAACACUUAAAAGAGCCUGUUCUGCUGGGACACAGAAUCACUUGCUCCAUCUCAUACAUUGAUGAUGAUUAAUUUGUAUGUGUACCUUCCAAAAAAAGAUGGUUGUGUUUGAACGGAGGCCUUCUGGACAGGAAAAUAUGGAGAGUGCGUGCUUUGGAUUCAAGACUGGGAAUGAGGGGACCAGAAACCUAUUCUGUGGCUGU
Molecule: long non-coding RNA, 666 nt
Filed under: Pan troglodytes (chimpanzee)
Lineage: Eukaryota; Metazoa; Chordata; Mammalia; Primates; Hominidae
Description: lincRNA
Source: RNAcentral